UGGCGGACGGGUGAGUAACGCGUGGGUAACCUGCCUCAUACAGGGGGAUAACAGUUGGAAACGACUGCUAAUACCGCAUAAGCGCACAGGAUCGCAUGAUCCGGUGCGAAAAACUCCGGUGGUAUGAGAUGGACCCGCGUCUGAUUAGGUAGUUGGUGGGGUAACGGCCUACCAAGCCGACGAUCAGUAGCCGACCUGAGAGGGUGACCGGCCACAUUGGGACUGAGACACGGCCCAA
RNAcentral lists this ribosomal RNA (238 nucleotides) under uncultured bacterium. Its description in RNAcentral is "partial 16S ribosomal RNA". It matches the Rfam family "Bacterial small subunit ribosomal RNA", at positions 96 to 334 of the family's 1533-position model. The record is from RNAcentral.